This 772-nucleotide ribosomal RNA is filed under the name uncultured bacterium. RNAcentral's name for it is "bacterial SSU rRNA". It matches the Rfam family "Bacterial small subunit ribosomal RNA", at positions 8 to 796 of the family's 1533-position model. The record is from RNAcentral.
AGAGUUUGAUCAUGGCUCAGGACGAACGCUGGCGGCGUGCCUAACACAUGCAAGUCGAACGGGGUAAAGAACUUCAGUUUUUUACUUAGUGGCGAACGGGUGAGUAACGCGUGAGAAACCUGCCUUUCAGUGGGGGACAACAGUUGGAAACGACUGCUAAUACCGCAUAAUGUUAUUUGAGGGCAUCCUCGGAUAACCAAAGAUUUAUUGCUGAAAGAUGGUCUCGCGUCUGAUUAGCUAGUUGGUGAGGUAACGGCUCACCAAGGCGACGAUCAGUAGCCGGUCUGAGAGGAUGAACGGCCACAUUGGGACUGAGAUACGGCCCAGACUCCUACGGGAGGCAGCAGUGGGGAAUAUUGGGCAAUGGGGGAAACCCUGACCCAGCAACGCCGCGUGAAGGAAGAAGGCCUUCGGGUUGUAAACUUCUUUUACCAGGGACGAAACUUGACGGUACCUGGAGAAAAAGCAACGGCUAACUACGUGCCAGCAGCCGCGGUAAUACGUAGGUUGCAAGCGUUGUCCGGAUUUACUGGGUGUAAAGGGCGUGUAGGCGGAGAUGCAAGUUGGGAGUGAAAUCCCGGGGCUCAACCCCGGAACUGCUUUCAAAACUGUAUCCCUUGAGUGUCGGAGAGGCAAGCGGAAUUCCUAGUGUAGCGGUGAAAUGCGUAGAUAUUAGGAGGAACACCAGUGGCGAAGGCGGCUUGCUGGACGAUAACUGACGCUGAGGCGCGAAAGCGUGGGGAGCAAACAGGAUUAGAUACCCUGGUAGUCC